GGCUCGGGGAGGUCCCGGGGGUGGAUGGAGCCGUGAGCGGUUCUGGGCGGCUGCUGGCAGCGCCAUGGAGACUGUGCAGCUGAGAAACCCGCCGCGCCGGCAGCUGAAAAAGUUGGAUGAAGAUAGUUUAACUAAACAACCAGAAGAAGUGUUUGAUGUCUUAGAGAAACUUGGAGAAGGGUCCUAUGGCAGUGUAUAUAAAGCUAUUCAUAAAGAGACCGGUCAGAUUGUUGCUAUUAAGCAAGUUCCUGUGGAAUCAGACCUGCAGGAAAUAAUCAAAGAAAUCUCCAUAAUGCAGCAAUGUGACAGUCCUCACGUCGUCAAAUAUUAUGGCAGUUAUUUUAAGAACACAGACUUGUGGAUUGUGAUGGAAUACUGUGGGGCUGGUUCUGUGUCUGAUAUCAUUCGAUUACGGAACAAAACUUUAACAGAAGAUGAAAUAGCUACGAUAUUACAGUCAACACUUAAGGGACUAGAAUAUCUUCAUUUUAUGAGAAAAAUACACCGAGAUAUCAAGGCUGGGAAUAUUUUGCUAAAUACAGAAGGGCAUGCAAAACUUGCAGAUUUUGGAGUAGCAGGUCAACUUACAGAUACCAUGGCCAAGCGGAAUACAGUAAUAGGAACACCAUUUUGGAUGGCUCCAGAAGUGAUUCAGGAAAUUGGGUACAACUGCGUGGCAGACAUCUGGUCGUUAGGAAUAACUGCCAUAGAAAUGGCUGAAGGAAAACCCCCUUAUGCUGAUAUCCAUCCAAUGAGGGCAAUCUUCAUGAUCCCUACAAACCCUCCUCCCACAUUCCGGAAGCCAGAGCUGUGGUCUGAUAACUUCAUGGAUUUUGUGAAGCAGUGUCUUGUAAAGAGCCCCGAGCAGAGAGCCACAGCCACGCAGCUCCUCCAGCACCCGUUUGUCAAGAGUGCCAAAGGAGUGUCCAUACUGCGGGACUUAAUUAACGAAGCCAUGGAUGUGAAGCUGAAACGCCAGGAAGCGCAGCAGCGGGAGGUGGACCAGGAUGACGAAGAGAACUCAGAGGAAGAUGAGCUGGAUUCUGGCACGAUGGUUCGGGCAGCAGGUGAUGAGAUGGGCACUGUCCGCGUAGCCCACACCAUGAGCGAUGGCGCCAACACAAUGAUCGAACACGGGGACACGUUGCCCUCCCAGCUGGGUACCAUGGUGAUCAACUCUGAGGACGAGGAAGAAGAGGGGACCAUGAAGAGAAGGGAUGAGACCAUGCAGCCUGCAAGACCUUCUUUUCUUGAAUACUUUGAACAAAAAGAAAAGGAAAAUCAGGUCAACAGUUUUGGCAAGAGUGUAUCUGGCCCCUUGAAAAACUCUUCGGAUUGGAAAGUACCCCAGGAUGGAGACUACGAGUUUCUGAAGACCUGGACAGUGGAGGACCUUAAGAAGAGGCUCUCGGCCCUCGACCCCAUGAUGGAGCAGGAGAUUGAAGAGAUCCGGCAGAAGUACCAGUCGAAGCGGCAGCCAAUCCUGGAUGCCAUUGAGGCUAAGAAGCGGCGGCAGCAGAACUUCUAAGUGGGGCCAGCCUGGGGGCUGGGCGCCCCAGGCCUCCGUGGACUCCGGAUGGUCAUGUCCUGUCGUCAGCCUGCACCCCUGCUCCAUCUCUAGUCCACAGCACCUUCUUGAGCUCAGGAACGCCGACCCUGGCCUGGACAGCCAGCGUGCCCCCGGAUGUGUGCCUGAGCCAGUCAGGUGUAUUUUUUUCAAAGGAUUGAUAUUGGCGCUUUUAAAUUAAGAGUUUUAAACCCCAGGAACUGAGACUCCUAGUUGAGUGAUAGCUCGGGGAGUUUUACAUUGUCUUUUGUUUUAAUUCUCCCAAUAGCUUUCAACUGUUCUUUCUGAAAGAUUUUUUAAAAAUAUAUAAAUAUGCAUAUAUAUAUAUAAAUUAUAACCGGAUUCCCCACUCAGCGUGGUGGCAUCUCUGUACAGGUACAGUUUUAAACAGUUUGCCUCUUUUCGGCGUGAUCAUGGUACUGUGGGACACGAGCGCUGGACACCGGGAGGCUGGCGGGGUCACGACUCCCCAGAGCCAAUCUCACCCUUUUGCUGGACUGCAUUUAAAAAUGAGGUUUGGGCCCGCUGUGGCACUGUGGUAUCAGCCUCACGUGGGUCAUCCCGGCUUCGGAGCUGCUGGUGACGUCCAAGGAAAGCCUUGAGAGUUUGUGUUUACCUCUGAGUCCCAGGAGACGCCUGGUACCCCCUGUGCAAACUGGCCUUUGUGAUGGUUUCCAGGGCCUUUCGUCCAUCUCCACUCUCCCCGUUGCCUGAAGUCACAGCACAGAUACUGCCCAGUGCCUUAGGAGGAGACGUGCACCAGUGGGGACAGGCCCGCCGGGAGCUCUCAGCAGACACGGGGCCUGUGUUCGGUCCGCAAAAGGGAAAGUGUCUUUUUAAGUUCUCGUUGUUCAUGUGAAGAUCACACCUGUGGUGUUUUGUUCCACAUUCCUCACAGACGGGGUAGAGGGCAUUACUUCAGUGAUCCGCAUUCAAGUAUGUGACUUUGCUUUUUUAUUUUACUGCCAAGGGCUCUGGAAAGGAUACAUGAAUAUCAGACUGAGGUUUGUUCUCCGGGAGACUGAACCCAGACAUGUAGAAUGCCAGGGCUGGAAGGGACCACAGUCCUCAUCUGGUCCACUAAGGCUUAGAGAGGCAGCUGCCGUGACCAAAAUCACAGCAAUCAAAGGAAGAGCCGGGCCGAGGCCUCGGCGCCUCACCCCUUCACUGAACCAGCCUCUUCCUUGAGGGAAGAAACUUUGAGUCACACUUAAGAGGGUGUUUGUUAAGUUGUUCCAGGGAACCUUCCUAAUGGAAACUUGUUCUUGUUUUGUCUCUUUGGUGGAUGACAGGUUAUGAAAAAAUUCAUAAGGGGAGCCAGAUGGCUCCAGGUCAGUCAUUCCGUGAGCUCUGCAGUGUCCCCUGGGUAGAUUUAGGGCCUAAAACAGGUCAGAGGCUUUGCAGAAGGCAGCGCUGGGCCAUCCCUGUGCAGGGUUGGUUCAAAGCCGCACGUCAUCUAGUCACACAGCAAGGGGGAGACAGGAAGGGCAGGUAACUUCAUUUUCUAAUAGCUCUUCCCCUCAGAUAGAGGACCCGUGACUGGGUUACAUCUCAGGAUCCUAUAAUCUGACUCCAUAAUUGCUUUUGUUGCCCUAACCUGGAAUCAGUGGGAAGGCAGGGAAUAUUCCUCAUCUGUGGCCUGAUUCUGUUCUUUACAAUUAAAGCAGGUUUAAAAAAUAUAAGAGGUAUUUGUUAGUCUGCAGGGCUUGACCAGUGGAGCAGCUGUGUGGCAGAUUCAGAGGAUAGAAGUCAAUUUGAGAAUCCUGGUAGAAGAAUAAAUGGCAGCUAGCAUCCGUCAUCCACUUGUAUGCCAGGCCCUGAGUGAGGUAGACUCUUUAUAUACAUCAGCUCCAACCCCACAGAAACCCUGGUAGUUACUUUAUCUCCAUUUCAUAGAUGAAGAAGCAGGUUCAGAGAGGAAGAAGGUUCUUUGCCAAGACGACACAGCUAGGAAGUGGUGGGAUCAGAAUUCACAGCAUCUCCAUAUGGGGCCAUUAUCUGCAGGGAAAAGGAAAGUCACAGGUCUUUUUCAAAUGAAGUGGCCACCUUUUCUUACACAGACUAAAUUAACUGGCAUUUUUAGACUGGGUAACAGCUGACUUUGUAGUCAAGACCGACAGCCAAGUGAAUUUUAAAAACCAAAGCAUUGAGCAGGCAUUCCCCCAUGCCAUCUGCUGUGCCAAUGAACAGUCCCGCCUCAGUCUCUUUUUUAAAAAGGACUUUUCACUUGGCCAAAGGGGAAUGCCCAUUUCCCAUUUCCCCCCUUCCUACAUAAAAGAUGGUCUAGUUCUUCUCCAUAAAUAUUCCUGGGUCAUGAAUCUUGAGCUGGGGUUUCUUUUGUUUCAAGCGUGUGUGCACCCAACACAUGGGUCCACCACAGGAUACUGCUUGCUAUGCUUGCUGGCCACAGUCCUCUGGCCAGGGCUCAGUUUCUUGUGGAUCAGAUCAGAUGACAAGGUUUCUGUUUUCUAGUGCUCGACUCCUCAGGCCACGGUAGUCCGGCGAGCUUCAGUCAGUGCUUGAGCAUUCAUGACUCACGCUUCCAGGGAGCUCGCAAGGCCUCUUGCUUGUUCUCUCCUAAGAAACAAUGGAGACCCACACCUAAUUGUAUCUUUAAGAGGUAUACAACCUGAGGACACUUGGUCAGAUUUUCUAGGAAUAUCUUAAUUGCUUCCUCAUCAGUAAUUUUGAACCAAAUUUCUAUUUUCUUUCAUCCCUUCUGUCAACAACCAGUUGGAUAUAUGGAUGGAUGUUUGACUGACUGGCUGGAUACAUGAUUGACUGAUUGAUAGAGCAAAACAAUACUCUGAAGCAACUUAAGAACAAUAGCCUUGCCUCCUUGAGACUCUAGAUUCUGAUCUAGGAAACAUUUACUUGGCACCUACAGAUGCCAGAAAUAUUAUGCCAUUUAAAAUUCAAUAGUUCUUUCCAACAUUAGGAACAAGAAAGGUGACAUCAUUAUAGGCCCUACAGAUAUUAAAAGGCUAGUCACAAUAUUAUGAACAACCUUAUGCUAAUAAAUUCAGCAACUUAAAUGAAAUGGAGAAAUUCCUUGCAAGAUACAAGGUACCAAACUCACUUGGGAAGAAAUUAUCUGAGCAGCUUAUCUCUAUUAAAACUCAAUAGAUCUGAGAGGGACAGUAAUUAUGGUCCUCAUUUUACAGAGAAGGAAAAAACAGGCUCAGAGAAAGUAGGUCUGUUGCUCAAGGUCACGUAGCUAGAAUAUGGCAGAGAACGGUUCAAAUCCAGGUCUUCUGAUUAUCAUUCCAGUGCCCUUUCUAGCACACCAUGUUGCCUCUAAAGAUCGCAGCUCCUCAUUUACUGGGAAAUUGUUCCUGCCCAGUUCCCACCCUUCCACCCAUACUUUCUUAAGCACUGUGUUUCUGCUUCUAUCAGGAUGAUAUUCAUUGUCUUUGGAAUCCAUGUUCUUAUUUGUGUUUGGAGAAAAAAAAUCUCUUCCACCAGCUUGCACUCAGACCAGCUUGGGAGAAAAAAGCUUAAAUGCUGUUGCAGCUGUACAGCUUGAAAAUGUGAAGUUUGUAGCUUUAAAUUUUUGUAACAAAAUUGGUAAUACUGGCUUAUGUGCUGACUUGAAAUGCUAUUUUAUAAACUUUGGAUGUAAAUAAUCAGUUGAGGUCAUUAGUUUGUAUAUGUAUGAAACAGAGCUUCCUCCAUUGCCCUCCCCACCUUUAAAAAUUUUUGAAUGCCUCAUGUGUGCUUUUAUGUUAAAAUUGUCAUUCUCCUUUCUUCCUACCAUGCCACUUUGUUUUAAAUAAACUGUCCUUUGGGUCAUAGACUAGCCUCUUUGUAAAAAUUGAGAUACUCCAUAUGUGGCCUGGUAAUGUGUUGUGAACCUUCAUGACAUUGGCCCUGUGUGUGCUCAUUCUGGAAUCCAAAGCUGGCGGGGAUUGUAGGAGGAGUAAACUUUUGUUGGACAACUCCCUUUGUGACAAGUGCUGACCAGUGGCUAGGGUUGUAAACAAGACCCAGGCUGUUGGAAAUGCGCAGGUUCAACAUUGUUUUAUUAGAACAUCAAUGAGAAUAAUGCAUUCCUGGCAGAUGUUGAACAAACACAGGGACCCUGAUUAAUUCUACAUCAUUUCAAUUGAAGUGACAGUUUGUAAGAACCUGUUGAUGACAACUUUAAGUGAAGACUUACUAAGCUAUGGUGGAAGGAAGUGCAUGACCUAUGGACACCAGAUCAGAGAGUCACAGAAAUCAAUCUGCUGGGAUUCUAAGGAAGAGUUCCUGGAGGAGACUAUGAGGCAUCCAGCACUCUACCUUUCUGUAGACAGGCAAUUCUCAGAGCGUGUAGUGCUGCCCAUGAGGAAGUAUUCUGGAAAUGCACCAGUGUUUUGUUGUGGCAAGGAGUGUAGGUCCCUACCAGCGUUUAAUGGGCAGCAGCAGGGAUGCAAGAUGCCCUGCAAUGCAUGCUGGGAAGUCCUGUAUCCUGCUCAACAUUCCUGUCCCACUCUAUGUUGGUGAGAAACUUGUGUUAUAAACACCCAAUUCCAGGUCAUCUACACACAAAAUGUUUCUAGCACUUAGAACUAUCAGUUUCCCAAGAAUGAAUGGUGCAGAAAUGGAGAGAUACUUGCAGUUUGUUUUCCUUGAAGCUUUACCACUACACACCCAAUAUAACAGCUGAAAUGAAAGCAAUAGAAAAUCCUAAAUGCUAACAAAGAAGUGGAGCAACCGGAAUGCUAAAUCCUAGGUAUUUAGCAGAAAUGUCUACAUAUUUUUACCAAAAAACAUGAACAAGAAUAUUCAUAGCAGCAUUAGUCAUAAUUUUGCCAAACUGUAAUCCAUCCAGAUGACCGGUGACAAUGGAAUGGGUAGAUCAAGUAUGUAGAUUCAUGCAGCGGAAUACCAAACAACAAUGAGAAUGAUCUACAGCUACUAUGGAAAUAAGUACAGACCAACCAGAAGAGAAAAGCAAAAGACUUUAUUCUGAGCAAGGAGUUGCCGCAGUCACUUGCAUUUUGGCAGAGACUCAAAAGCAGGCAUAGGAGUGGGAAAGUUUUAUAGCAGAGCAAAGGAAAGACUCCAGGUCUUCCUGAUUGGAGGCUGUGGGCCUGGGGAAGACGCCCUUUCACCUCCCUAUCCCAAUAUGAACCCCUUGCUGGUUCUUAAUUGAGCUGACAAACUCCUCUACUCCAAGGAACACAGGUAUAAUCCUGGGCCUUUCUGGGUUUCCAUUUUUUAAUCUGUAACUGGGGAGGAGACACAGAAUGAAAUAUAAAGUAUUUCUGUGACCACAGUGAAAGGAUCUCUUGUGAUUGGCAGCGGGACUGAGAUCUCCAAAACCAAACCAAAAUUGGCUCAUGCAGUUUGCCGAGUUCACAGCCCUCCUGCACUUUUAUGAAGUUAGGCAUUGAUAGGCAAGGGAUUAUGACAAGUGGAAUGGCCAUAUGAGAGGAUGUGGGAGAAAUCCAAGGCAAACUAACACCCUGGGUGGAAGCAGCCCCCGCCCUUCCUUAUUGGAGAAAGCUCACAAGUUUCUGCUUACUCCACCCCCAAGGCAGCUGAGCUGGAAGGUGGAGGAUCAGUUUUGGCCUAGAGGGUGAAAAAUAGACUCUGAGUAGGAAAGACUCUUGGACCCAUACAGAAUUGCAGAAAUUUGUUAAUUGAUACCACCAGAAUUUGGGGAAUAUUUAUGGGAGUGAAUUUUUGUGGUACAUGACGAAGGAAGGGGAAAUGUAAUUUUGGGCCAGGCUGAUCUUGAUAAAGAUGCACGUACAGGGCAUCUGUGUUCUCUGUGCCAGCGCCAG
RNA transcript from Talpa occidentalis (Iberian mole), 7338 nucleotides. It is a transcript of the gene named serine/threonine kinase 4, with no coding region annotated. The record is from RefSeq and is a predicted model, not a curated record. The transcript is spliced from 12 exons. NCBI's taxonomy places the organism in Eukaryota, Metazoa, Chordata, Mammalia, Eulipotyphla, Talpidae.